RNAcentral lists this ribosomal RNA (400 nucleotides) under uncultured bacterium. Its description in RNAcentral is "bacterial SSU rRNA". It matches the Rfam family "Bacterial small subunit ribosomal RNA", at positions 73 to 507 of the family's 1533-position model. The record is from RNAcentral.
AUUGUCAUCGAGUAGUGUUUAGUGGCGGACGGGUGAGUAACACGUUGGUACCUGCCCUUUAGUGGGGAAUAACUCGGCGAAAGUCGGGCUAAUACCGCAUGUGAUCCUUCGGGAUUAAAGCCUUCGGGCGCUAAAGGAGGGGCCUGCGUCUGAUUAGCUUGUUGGUAAGGUAAUGGCUUACCAAGGCGAUGAUCAGUAGCUGGUUCGAGAGGAUGAUCAGCCACACUGGAACUGAGAUACGGUCCAGACUCCUACGGGAGGCAGCAGUAAGGAAUCUUCCGCAAUGGACGAAGCCUGACGGAGCAACGCCGCGUGCAGGAUGAGGGCUUUCGGGUCGUAAACUGUCUUUGUAUGGGAGAUUAUGACGGUACCAUACGAAUAAGGACCGGCUAACUACGUG